AUACGGAGGGUGCAAGCGUUAUCCGGAAUCAUUGGGUUUAAAGGGUCCGCAGGCGGAUUAAUAAGUCAGUGGUGAAAUCCUCUCGCUCAACGAGAGAACUGCCAUUGAAACUGUUAGUCUUGAAUUCGUUCGAAGUAGGCGGAAUGUGUCAUGUAGCGGUGAAAUGCAUAGAUAUGACACAGAACACCGAUAGCGAAGGCAGCUUACUAGACCUGGAUUGACGCUCAUGGACGAAAGCGUGGGGAGCGAACAGGAUUAGAAACCCCUGUAGUCC
This 274-nucleotide ribosomal RNA is filed under the name uncultured bacterium. RNAcentral describes it as "partial 16S ribosomal RNA". It matches the Rfam family "Bacterial small subunit ribosomal RNA", at positions 523 to 796 of the family's 1533-position model. The record is from RNAcentral.